GAAUAAAACGUAUGACAAACCUAGACCGCAUAUUAAAAAGCAGCGACAUUACUUUGUAACACAGCAUCAGACUUUACUUCCAUCACCAGUCACAUCCACAACUGGUCAUUGUUUCUGAUUUGGCUAAGCCUCAUCAUUCCUUCAGAAGCUAUUUCUCCGCUGUUCUCCAGUAGCAUAUUGGGCACCUACUGACCUGGGAAAUUCAUCUCUCAGUGUCCUAUCUUUUGGCCUUUUCAUACUAUUCAUGGAGUUCUCAAGACAAGAAUACUGAAGUGGUUUGCCAUUCCUUUCUCCAGAGGACUACAUUUUGUCAGAACUCUCCACCAUGACCCGUCCAUCUCGGGUGGCCUUACAUGACAUGACUUAUCGUUUCAUUGAGUUAAACAAGGCUGUGAUCCAUGUGAUCAGUUUUGUUAGUUUUCUGUGAUUGUGCUUUUCAUUCUUUCUGCCCUCUGAUAGAGGAGGGUAAGAGGCUUGUGGAAGCUUCCUGGGGACCUAGGGAUGUAUUAAGUUGGUGCAAAAGUAAUCACAGUUUUGCAUGUUAAAACUUUGCUGUUUGAUACUGGAGUACAUUCUUAAAGGUGGUUAUGUUAUACAUCAUUUUAAUGUGAAUUUCUUGCUUUUAUAAUUUUUGCUAAUGACUUGCUACUUACUGUAUAUUUUAUAUUUAUUUAAAACUUGGAAAAUGAUAUUAAAAAGUAAAUUUGAGCAAUUUUCUUAUUCAAAUUCAAAAUGGGUUGUGAAGCAGCAAAGACAACUUGCAACAUGAACACAUUUGGCUCAGGAAUUGCUAGCGAAUAUUCAGUGCAGUGGUGGUUCAAGAAGUUUUCCAAAGGAGAUGAGAGCCUUGAUGAGGAAUGUAGUGGCCUGACAUCAGAAGUUGACAGUGACCGACUGAGAGGAUCAUUGACGCUGAUCCUCUGACAACUACACAAGAAGUCGCUGUAGAACUCGGCUUUCUACGGUUGUUGGACGUUCGAAGUAAAUUGGAAAGGUGAAGAAGCUCCAUAAGUGGGUGCCUCAUGAGCUGACCGAAAAUUUAAAAAUCGUCGUUUUGAAAAACUGUCAUCUUCUCUUAUUCUGUGCAACAACAAUGAACCAUUUCUCGAUUGGACUGUGACAUGUGAUGAAAAGUAGAUUUUAUACAACUGACGAUGACCAGCUCAAUGGUUGGACCAAGAGGAGGCUCCAAAGCACUUCCUAAAGCCAAACUUGACCAAGAGGAGGCUCCAAAGCACUUCCCAAAGCCAAACUUGCACCAAUAAAGGGUCAUGGUCACUGUUUGGUGCUCUGCUGCCCCUCUGAUCCACUGCAGCUUUGUGAAUCCCCGUGAAACCAUUACACCUGAGAAGAAUGCGCAACAAAUGGAUGAGAUGCACGGAAAACUGCAGCACUGGCAUCGGUCAAGAGAAAGGGCCCAAUUCUCGCGACAGCGCCCAACCACAUGUACAACCACCCAAAGUUGAACGAAUUGGGCUACGAAGUUCUGCCUCAUCUGCCAUACUCACCUGACUCUUGCCAACCAACUACCGCUUCUUGAAGCAUCUUGACAACUUUUUGCAGGGAAAAUGCUUCCACAACCAGAGGGGGCAGGAAAUGCUUUCCAAGAGUUUGUCAAAUCCCAAAGCAUGGAUUUUUAUGCUAGAAGAAUAAGCAAACUUAUUUCUCAUUGGGAAAGAUGCGUUGAUUGUAAUGGUCCCUAUUUUGAUUAAUAAAGAUGUUUGAGCUUAGUUAUGAUUUAAAAUUCAUGCCUGAAACUGAAAUUAUGUUUGCACCAACCUAAUAAAAUAUUCUGUGCACCAAUCAG
Bubalus bubalis (water buffalo) is the source of this 1807-nucleotide long non-coding RNA. RefSeq lists it as uncharacterized. NCBI's taxonomy places the organism in Eukaryota, Metazoa, Chordata, Mammalia, Artiodactyla, Bovidae. The record is from RefSeq and is a predicted model, not a curated record. The transcript has 2 exons.